UACGUAGGUGGCGAGCGUUGUCCGGAUUUACUGGGCGUAAAGCGCGCGCAGGCGGACUGAUCAGUCUGGGGUGAAAUCUCACGGCUCAACUGUGAGCGGUCCCUGGAUACUGUCAGUCUUGAGAUGUCUAGAGGAGAGCGGAAUUCCCGGUGUAGUGGUGGAAUGCGUAGAUAUCGGGAAGAACACCAGUGGCGAAAGCGGCUCUCUGGGGACCAUCUGACGCUGAGGCGCGAAAGCCAGGGGAGCGAACGGG
This 253-nucleotide ribosomal RNA is filed under the name uncultured bacterium. RNAcentral describes it as "partial 16S ribosomal RNA". It matches the Rfam family "Bacterial small subunit ribosomal RNA", at positions 524 to 776 of the family's 1533-position model. The record is from RNAcentral.